CUAGAGUUUCAUAAAGGUUACUCAUUGUCAGAGUCCGAUGUGCAGGGCCGGACGUGCCUGAGGGAGAGCCAGAGAUAGGACUUGCCGAACCAGCUAUCAGCCCCAAGGACACUGACCAUCCUUCCUUCCCCAAGGACACCCUCCCCUUCCUUCACCCCCCUGAGUGAGAUGAGCCACCCUACCUGCCUGCCGAGCUGCUAGAUAACACACACUCCUUGCUGAUGUCAUUUCGCGCCGAAAGUAACCGUGCACCUUUUGAAUUGACCAAUCAUGUGUAACCGCGCGAAUGCCCCUUACCUCCCCUAUAAAAACCCCCGAGUUUGGAAGCUCGGGGUCGAUUCCUCUGUCUCCUGUGUGAGAUACGUGUCGACCCGGGAUCCCGCUAAGACCUGGGAUCUCGUUAAUAAAGCUACCUCUUGCUGUUACAUCAAGAAUGGCUCCUCGUGAUUCCUGGGGGCACCCCACCCUGCGAUCGGAGCGAGAGACGCGGCUCCCCGUUUUGGGGUACGCUCUUUCAUUUGGGGGCUCGUCCGGGAUCGGAGCGUGACCCCCGGAACCCCGAAUGCCACUUGCAGGUACGUUAGUGUGAGUGCUGGAAAGAGGCCGCUGUGUGUGAGUGUGUGUGAAUUAAGUCCUGUAGUCUGUGUUUUUCGGUACCGGUUUAAGGUCUUAGUGCACUGUCUGGGCAGAUGAAGGAUUCCUGCCCUGUGCACGAGAGUCUUAGUGCACUGUCUGGGCAGAAGAAGGUUUCCUGCCCUGUGCACGGGUGGAAGAAGGAUUCCCGCCCGGUAGAAAGCUAGCUUGAGAGUGCACUGUCUGGGCAGAAGAAGGAUUCCUGCCCUGUGCACGGGUGGAAGAAGGUUCCCCACCCCGAAUAGGCGCCUGUGAGUAGAUGAAGGAUUCCUACUCUGAAUAGUCUUUUUCUAGUCUUUUUCUUUUUUUUUUCCUUUUUAGAAAGCUCACUGGGGGACGCCCCAAUCGAGCAGGCUCUGGGACGCGUGAGAGACGUUCCUCGAGCCAGCCUUUGUCGGGUCCUGGCUCUGGGACGCGUGAGAGACGUUCCACGAGCCGAAUUUUGUCGGGAGGACCCGGCAACGGACAGUCAAAAAGAUCUGACUGUGACUUGACUUUCGAGGUUGCGUUCGGCUGCCUAUUUGAGUGUAGGCAUGGACAAGUGUGCUUAGAUGUGUUAGUGUCUGUUGUCUGUAUUCUGUUUCUGUGUUUGGUAUCCCAGAAGCAGCUAAGGUUAAGCUGCAGUUUGGGCCAGGUACUGAAGGUACCAGGCAUCUGUGGAAAUUGGUUAUAGGAUGCUUUGUUUUAGUCUUGCUUGUCUGGUUUGUUUUCUGUGGUAUUGCCGAGUGUCUUUUUUUGGCUUUUGUUUCGUGUUUGAAUUUGGACUGACGACUGUGUUUAAAAUCUUGGACCGACGACUGUGUUUGAAAUCAUGAAACUGUUUGCUUUGUUCGUUGAAGAGUUUUACUUGGUCCCCUUAAUGCUUAGUGAGUAAGGAACUUAAUUUUGUGGACCCCGCUCUAGUGGCGGUGUGUUGGUUGAUAGCCAAAGUUAGUUUUUAAAACAGUGUUUUAUCUGUGCUUGUGCUCGCAGCCAGCUGAGAUAAGCUAGAGAAGUGAGUAAAUAUUGCUUGGGAGCAAAGAAUCUUAAAGGCAGAGUUUCAGCCGGUAUGACACGUAGUGCAUAACUGCCUAAAAGAUCAGAAAUGCUGUCAACAGGCUAUAAAAAAAAAAAGGGGGGGGGGACAGGCUGCGUUAGAAACGCUACAGGAAGAAUAAUCUAAAAAGGCUGAGAGCUAGGUCGGGCUAUAAGGAAAACAAGAACAGGAAAGGAAUUUCUGACAUUUGCUCACAGAAGGAGAGCACUCAUUUAGAGAAGUUCUUUAAGGAAGCCUGCCUUAUCUGCUGUCUUUAUUCCAAGGGAGGAGUCAGUCUCCAGCACUAAAUUACUUGGAGGUGGCCAAGGUCAGGAUUAAUGUUUUCUUUUCCUUGGGCCCUUUAAACCCAGAGAGACAGUUUGGUAAAGGGCUACUACUGAGGUCCUGAUAGCCCCAGGUGAACUGGUUACGAUUCUUCUGUCAGCCACCUGGCAUCUAGCACCCAGGUUCUAACCAUCUCUCCAUCCUUUUGUUAUUAGUUGUUACUAGAAGCCUAGUGUCAUUUGGAGGCUAGUUCUCUUGAGAGACAAAGCUACGGAGCUCACACUGAAGAGAGAUGCUCCUUGAGGGAAAACCUAACUCUAGAGAGAUAGUCGAUAACAGAUUGGCUGCCUCUCUGUUCACCUUUCUGUUUCAUAGACAAAGCUUGUGCUUAUUUGUACAAUGGCCUUUUCGUUCCAAGAAAGGCCUCCUGGUUUAACUGUGUGACUAAAUGCUGUUUGCCCUCUUCGGUAGACUCUAUUCUCAAGAUUCUCUUGUUUUCUCACCAUCCCAUUUGAUAUGCUUGUUAGUAACUGUUACAGGUCUUCUUUACCACCAAGGAAAGACGGAAUCCUACUGGAGACCAGAAAAAAAUGUUCCAGACACGGAUAGAAGGCCCUCACUUCUGCCUGCUCUCUUCAGACGCCUGAAGGUAGGGAGUGCCAGGUCUGCCGCCAGGCUCCAAGGGUGGGUCUCUGAGGGGCUGGAAAGUGCCCCAGCAAUCUGGCUAAGAUAAGGAAAAGAUAUGAAGAGAAAGUUACAGAAACUUGAAGGGUUAAGCUAAGUCACUGAGAGAGUUAUUGUAAGUUGCAGAGAAAAUAAGUUGAUGCAUGGUUCAGGGUCUGUGCAGAAAAGUGGACAGCACCUAAUAGCUGUAGAAGAAGAUGCAGAGAGACUGAAAAGAAAGAAAGAAAGAAAGAAAGAAAGAAAGAAAGAAAGAAAGAAAGAAAGAGGUAAAAAGAGCAGGAAGCUAGGGAAGAAAAGAGACUAAAAGAAGAGGAAGCUAGAGAGUUAAAGAGAGAUAGAAGACAAGAGAGGAACAUAUACUGGCCACAGUAGUUAGGGAACCUAGGAAGAUAGUACCUGGCAACAGAAGAGAAUUCCUGGCUAAAGAUCAGUGUGCCUAAUACGAAGAAAAAAAGGACACUGGGUCAGGGACUGCCCAAGAAGAACAAGAGGGGCCACUGGAGAGCCUCUUGGUCCUAGAGUGCUGGCUAUGUACAGAGAUAGAAGGGAAGUGUGGAUACAGGGACCCAAUGCUCUGUGCUCCUAUGCCCCCCAGUGGGCCAAUAUCCAAAGACCUUGAGUGCAAGGGGCUACUGGCAACGAACAAUACUUAUGGACUGCCCGAAGAACAGUGGACCUUGGCGUGGGCCGGGUAACCCACCCACUAAUUCAUGGUCAUCCCUGACUGCCCCUAUCCCUUGCUCAUGAGAAAAUUGCUCUCCAAAAUGGCUUGCGUGGGCUGAAAUGGCUGGGUGAGGCCAUGUGUAUACAUAUCUACAGACUGUGUAUGUGGAGCUUAAGACCUGUCUCAGUGCACCAGUACCUGAUGCUGGGAGAUGUGUGACUUAGUCCUGAUCUGCCUGGAACACAUCACUCCUGCCAACCGGGCACUAACAAUUAUCACCCAAUCCAGGACUUAAACUGUGAUAGAGUGGCUGAUGUUCUGUCUUUGAAUAGAGUGUCCCAAAAGAUGGGACCACUGGUCAGCUGCCAUGGACUAGAUUCUCCACCGGUUGGGGACAAUCUGGUCACCUUGCUGCCCAAUCCGGACCUGGAGCCACCACAGCACGAGUGUCAAGUACUGGCAGAAGCCCAUGGGUGGAGGAAAGACCUCUGUGACUGGCUGAUUGACCCCUGCUGAAAGCCGAGGACCUUGUCCACAGACGGGAACAGUUCUCUUCAUGAAUGAAGUACAUCAGCACUGCAGAUGCCUUUACCAUCUCUUGGAUGCCCUGGUGAAGCCAACAACUGUGAGUACUAUUCAUUGCUCAGGAUAUCAGGAGGGAAGAGAUUCAGUGACAUGGGGCAAUAACGAAGCAGAUAAAGUGGCUCGAAAAAUGGUUAUGCAGGAGCCCAUCCUGGUUGCAGGCCUGCAAGAGACAGCCACUGGGAACUGGGAUCGGACUAAGGGAUGGCCUCACUUAGAAAAGGCCCAAAUUGCUUAAAAGAUAAAGGACAAUGGCACACUUGAGGGGAAAGCUAUACUCCCCAGAGAAUAAAGGAAAGACUCACUUUGCCAAAUACAGAAAUGGACUCAUUUAGGAGAUAAAAAGUUUGUCCAAGUAGUUAAGUGUAUGUAAUAGACUUUAAGAUUUUAGCCAGAGAGGCAGUAGAAAGUAUAAGGUAUGUCAAUAAGUGAAUGCUUAGCAAGCAAACAGGGCAAAGAGACCUAGAGAGUUUAGUGAAAAGUCGAAGUGAACUUCACUGAGAUAAAACAAGAAAAAUAUAAUCACAAGUAUCUCCUAGUGCUUGUAGAUACUUUUUCAGGAAUAGAUAGACGCUUUCCUCACCAAACGAGAGACAGCCUCUGCAAUCAUCAAGAAGAUACUGGAAGAAAUCUUCCCCAGGUCUGGAAUGCCCAAGGUAAUCUGGUCAGACAACGGCCCAACUUUCGUUGCCAAGGUAAGCCAGGGUGUGGCCAAGUAUUUAGAGGUCGAUUGGAAAUUACAUUGUAUUUACAGACCUCAAAGUUCAGGACAGGUAGAGUAAAUAAAUAAAAUUUUAAAAGAGACCCUGACCAAAUUAAAUUAACCAUGGAGACUGGCGCAGACUGGGUGACACUCCUUCCCUCUUGCUCUCUUCAGAGCAAGAAAUACCCCUUCCAGAUUCAGCCUUACCCCCUUUGAGAUCUUAUAUGGGGCCUCAGUCCCCCUGACUGUAUUAGAUGAUGUUACUGAACCAACAUGUCAUAGUGCCAUAGUAAUAAUGAUUUGUGUGCCAGGCUAAAAGACCUUCAGGUGAUACAGAAAGAAAUCUGCUCACAGCUGACAGCAGCCUAUGCCCCGGAGACCCCUGAGACAUCCCAUCAGUUCCAGGUCGGAGAUUGCAGCUACACUGAGCCCAGACACUCGAGCCUCGCUGGAAAGGACCGUACCUGGUGCUGCUGACCACCCUGAGAGCUGUCAAUUCUCAGCCCUCACCAGCCGUGUACUAGCUGUUGGGGCUGAGAGCUGGGACCUAGAGGGAAACUCAGUCAUGUUUGUCCUGGGUUCUAUCAAGAUAGGUGUGGGAUAGGCUUGAUUUCCAUUACAAAUGAUGUAACAUUGCAUAUGUUAGUACUCUUAACACUUCUUGGGACUGUGCCUCAGGGAUCACAGUCUGUAUAAGCUUAGAAGUUCUAAAAGCUAGUCAUGACCUUGGUGGAUAGGCUUGGAUAGUGUCCAGGUUAGAAUCCUCAUGUUAAGACAACAAUACCAAGCUGUUAUGCUAGAUGAAGCUGAGUUCUCCAUGAAGUUCUAGGAUUAGAACUAUUAACAAAAAAAAGAAGUGGGGAAUGUAGAACUAGAGUUUCAUAAAGGUUACUCAUUGUCAGAGUCCGAUGUGCAGGGCCGGACGUGCCUGAGGGAGAGCCAGAGAUAGGACUUGCCGAACCAGCUAUCAGCCCCAAGGACACUGACCAUCCUUCCUUCCCCAAGGACACCCUCCCCUUCCUUCACCCCCCUGAGUGAGAUGAGCCACCCUACCUGCCUGCCGAGCUGCUAGAUAACACACACUCCUUGCUGAUGUCAUUUCGCGCCGAAAGUAACCGUGCACCUUUUGAAUUGACCAAUCAUGUGUAACCGCGCGAAUGCCCCUUACCUCCCCUAUAAAAACCCCCGAGUUUGGAAGCUCGGGGUCGAUUCCUCUGUCUCCUGUGUGAGAUACGUGUCGACCCGGGAUCCCGCUAAGACCUGGGAUCUCGUUAAUAAAGCUACCUCUUGCUGUUACAUC
Non-coding RNA from Rattus norvegicus (Norway rat), 5866 nucleotides. The record is from RefSeq and is a predicted model, not a curated record. NCBI's taxonomy places the organism in Eukaryota, Metazoa, Chordata, Mammalia, Rodentia, Muridae.